UUCGCCCUUAGAGUUUUUUCCUGGCUCAGAGCGAACGCUGGCGGCAGGCUUAACACAUGCAAGUCGAGCGGGCGUAGCAAUACGUCAUUUUCAGACGGGUGAGUAACGCGUGGGAACGUACCUUUUGGUUCGGAACAACACAGGGAAACUUGUGCUAAUACCGGAUAAGCCCUUACGGGGAAAGAUUUAUCGCCGAAAGAUCGGCCUGCGUCUGAUUAGCUAGUUGGUGAGGUAACGGCUCACCAAGGCGACGAUCAGUAGCUGGUCUGAGAGGAUGAUCAGCCACAUUGGGACUGAGACACGGCCCAAACUCCUACGGGAGGCAGCAGUGGGGAAUAUUGGACAAUGGGGGCAACCCUGAUCCAGCCAUGCCGCGUGAGUGAUGAAGGCCCUAGGGUUGUAAAGCUCUUUUGUGCGGGAAGAUAAUGACGGUACCGCAAGAAUAAGCCCCGGCUAACUUCGUGCCAGCAGCCGCGGUAAUACGAAGGGGGCUAGCGUUGCUCGGAAUCACUGGGCGUAAAGGGUGCGUAGGCGGAUCUUUAAGUCAGAGGUGAAAGCCUGGAGCUCAACUCCAGAACUGCCUUUGAUACUGGGGAUCUUGAGUUCGGGAGAGGUGAGUGGAACUGCGAGUGUAGAGGUGAAAUUCGUAGAUAUUCGCAAGAACACCAGUGGCGAAGGCGGCUCACUGGCCCGAUACUGACGCUGAGGCACGAAAGCGUGGGGAGCAAACAGGAUUAGAUACCCUGGUAGUCCACGCCGUAAAC
Molecule: ribosomal RNA, 764 nt
Filed under: uncultured bacterium
Lineage: Bacteria
Description: bacterial SSU rRNA
Rfam family: Bacterial small subunit ribosomal RNA
Source: RNAcentral